GAACUACAAAGUAAACUAUUUUAAUAAAGGGUAAGAUGACGACCAAAAGAUAUAUAUAUAUAUGUAUAUAUAUACACACAUAUAUACAUACAUACAUAUAUAUGUGUGUAUAUAUAUAUACAUAUAUAUAGAUAAUUAAGAGAGUAAAAAGGCAAGACAAAAGAGUGGAAGAAGAUAUCUGAACCACAUAUAACUGACAAAAGCUAUGUAACUAAAAUAGAGUGAAGAUGACAAAUUUAAAAAUAAAUGAACAGAAGACUUCAACAGGAUUGAGACAAGGACAUCAUUAAGGGGGAGAGGGAGAUGAAUCAUUCGGCCUGCCACACCAUUGAAGACAAAGGUGCAUCGCCUGUGGAAAAGAAUUUGUCAACACCUAGCAAAACUACAUACAUUUACCCUUUAACCUCAUAAUUCUACUAGGAAUCUAUGCCAAAAUAACAUGGCAAAAAAUUUUUAAAAAUUUCAAAAACAGACAUGUACAAGGCUAUCUGUAACAGUAAAAAACUGAAAAUAA
Molecule: long non-coding RNA, 514 nt
Organism: Felis catus (domestic cat)
Lineage: Eukaryota; Metazoa; Chordata; Mammalia; Carnivora; Felidae
Exons: 2
Source: RefSeq, a predicted model, not a curated record